RNAcentral lists this ribosomal RNA (523 nucleotides) under uncultured bacterium. Its description in RNAcentral is "bacterial SSU rRNA". It matches the Rfam family "Bacterial small subunit ribosomal RNA", at positions 384 to 901 of the family's 1533-position model. The record is from RNAcentral.
UGGUCGCACAUGCCGCGUGAAGUGACGAAGGCCUUCGGGUCGUAAAGCACUUUCAAUGGGGAGGAAAAUGAUAGAAUUAAUACCUCUAUGGCUUGACGUUUUCCAUACAACAACCACCGGCUAACUCUGUGCCAGCAGCCGCGGUAAUACAAAGGGUGCAAGCGUUAAUCGGAGUUACUGGGCGUAAAGCGCGCGUAGGCGGAUAUGAAAGUCAGAUGUGAAAUCCCUGGGCUCAACCUAGGAACUGCAUUUGAUACUGGUGUCUUCAGUAUGGUAGAGGGAAGUGGAAUUUCCUGUGUAGCGGUGAAAUGCGUAAAUAUCGGAAGGAACAUCAGUGGCGAAGGCGACUUCCUGGACCAAUACUGACGCUGAGGUGCAAAAGCCUGGGGAGCAAACACGAUUAAAUACCCUGGUAAUCCAUGCCGUAAACGAUGAUAACUAGGUGUUGGGAAGUUUACUACUUACUGCCCGGGCUAACGCAUUAAAUUCUCCGCCUGGGGAGGAAGGCCGCGAGGCUAAAACU